Pecten maximus is the source of this 680-nucleotide long non-coding RNA. RefSeq lists it as uncharacterized. Lineage: Eukaryota; Metazoa; Mollusca; Bivalvia; Pectinida; Pectinidae. The transcript is spliced from 2 exons. The record is from RefSeq and is a predicted model, not a curated record.
UGCAUGCUUCUCAGGUAAGUUUGCCUGAGUGUGCGUCCAUUUUCAACAGGAGACAGCGACCAGUACAGUCACUUCACGGUCAAGAGGCUGUGUGCCCAUGAAAUGGAGGAGCUGGGUGCUCCUAUGUAUAUAUAAGGACUGUGUGUCCAAUGACCACCUGAGUAAGGCCAGUUAUGUAGUUUCUAGUGAGAAGGAAGCUGUAAAAGGGCAGUAGACAUGUACAAGCUGUGUGCUGAUAAUGUCCAGGAGGUGGUGAAGCUGUGUGCUCAGAAGCUGCGUGCUAAGGAGCUGUGUGCUCAACUUCAUGUGAAGUGACCUUGAGGGCCUGGGAGACCAUUGACUAAGGCUCCAUAUGAAUGUUCCAGUCAGUAACCAUCAGUAACCAGUUAUCCUUCAUGGAAGGUGUAUCAAGACGUACAGUACUAGUGAAAACAUCCAGGAUGAGGUUUCAACUACGUGGAAAAGACUUUAAACAUUACAUCAGUGUGGAGGACCGCAGUUGUGGGAAAAGACUUUCAAUAGACUGUUUAUAGGUUUAAUAUUGUUAAUAUUAGGCAUAUAUUUAGGUUAUUUAUGUGUAGUGUAUUGUCGUCGAGUGAGAGGGUAUGCGACUUGGUGUGGUUUGUAUCUCUACUUUCUUGUAAAUUUUUAUAUAUAAUAUAUGUUUAUUUGUAUAUAUA